GCUGGCGUAGCUCAACUGGAGAGAGCAUCGGAUUUGUAAUCCGAAGGUUGUGGGUUCGAGUCCCACCGCCAGCUCCA
RNAcentral lists this transfer RNA (77 nucleotides) under Gemmatimonadota bacterium. RNAcentral describes it as "Gemmatimonadetes bacterium tRNA-Thr". It matches the Rfam family "tRNA". From Rfam's summary of the family: Transfer RNA (tRNA) molecules are approximately 80 nucleotides in length. Their secondary structure includes four short double-helical elements and three loops (D, anti-codon, and T loops). The record is from RNAcentral. RNAcentral also lists the same sequence under 2 other names. Lineage: Bacteria; Pseudomonadati; Gemmatimonadota.